AUGCCAGACGGCGAGGAAUGGGACUGGGCAGUGCAUACAGACAACCUGCGGGCGCAGCUGGAACGCGCCCAGAAGAGGUUCAAGAAAUAUGCAGACAUCAACAGGACUGAACGUUCCUUUCAGAUUGGGGAACAAGUGCUUCUAAAACUGCAGCCUCAUGUUCAGAAAUCGGUGGCGAGCAGGCCUUGUGCAAAAUUGGUCUACAAGUUCUUUGGCCCCUUCAAGAUCUUGGACAAGAUUGGGAACCUGGCAUACAGGCUGGACUUGCCCCAAGACAGCCGCAUACAUCUAGUCUUCCAUAUAUCCCAGCUGAAACCAUUCACUCCAAACUACUCGCCAGUGUUCUCUGAACUUCCCAGCACAGGGGAUCUGACGAUAGUGGAUACUACACCUGUGGCUAUCUUGGACAGGUGGAUGAUGAAACGAGGCAAUGCUUCCGUGGUUCAGCUCCAUGUGAAGUGGGACAAACCAGCAACAGCGACGACAUGGGAGGAUUACGAUGUUCUCUGUCGACACUUUCCGGCUGCUCCAAUCUAGAACCAUCAAGACUCGAGCGAGGACGCUCGUUCUGGAGACAGGGAGAGUGUCACACCAGCCAUGGUGUGA
This 606-nucleotide ribosomal RNA is filed under the name Triticum aestivum (bread wheat). RNAcentral describes it as "partial small subunit ribosomal RNA". The record is from RNAcentral. Lineage: Eukaryota; Viridiplantae; Streptophyta; Magnoliopsida; Poales; Poaceae.